This 465-nucleotide ribosomal RNA is filed under the name uncultured bacterium. RNAcentral describes it as "partial 16S ribosomal RNA". It matches the Rfam family "Bacterial small subunit ribosomal RNA", at positions 28 to 507 of the family's 1533-position model. The record is from RNAcentral.
GACGAACGCUGGCGGCGUGCUUAACACAUGCAAGUCGAACGGAAAGGCCCUGCUUGCAGGGUACUCGAGUGGCGAACGGGUGAGUAACACGUGGGUGAUCUGCCCUGCACUUCGGGAUAAGCCUGGGUAACUGGGUCUAAUACCGGAUAGGAGCCAUUUUUCGUGUGAUGGUUGGAAAGUUUUUUCGGUGUAGGAUGAGCUCGCGGCCUAGCAGCUUGUUGGUGGGGUAAUGGCCUACCAAGGCGGCGACGGGUAGCUGGCCAGAGAGAGUGGACGGCCACAUUGAGACUGGGAUACGGCCCAGACUCCUACGCGAAGCAGCAGUGGGGGAUGUUGCACAAUGGGCGCAAGCCAAAUGCAGCGACGCCGCGGGGGGGAUGACGGCCUUCGGGUUGUGAUUACCUUUCGCUAGGGACGAAGCUUUUUGUGACGGUACCUGGAGAAUAAGCACCGGCUAACUACGUG